Molecule: long non-coding RNA, 772 nt
Organism: Oryza brachyantha (malo sina)
Lineage: Eukaryota; Viridiplantae; Streptophyta; Magnoliopsida; Poales; Poaceae
Exons: 6
Source: RefSeq, a predicted model, not a curated record
AUAUACUUCCCAAGAUUGCUGAGAGAGAACUUCGGAGGUUUUCAUACCUUCGCUCUGCAUCGUCAGCAGUAGGAAUAAAGCCCUUGUUGAGUGAGAUUCCAGUACCAUGGCUUAGUAUCUACAUUUGUAAAGCAGAGAAGUUCAUGGGAAAGAAUGUUAUGAGGUUUGAUGGAGAAAUAUAGAUGGGCUCCAAGUUUUAGUUGCUCCUGGGGAUCUUGUUAGAAGAUCUGCACAGGAGCAUCGGGUGUGUGGGGCAACCAAGCUAAGGUUGGAGGCUAGGGGAGUAGGAGGGAGAGCAACGGCUUGGUCAUGACUAUGGUGACGACAGUGACCCAUCGCGGUAGCUGUGCCAAGAUCAUGACAAGGUUUGUUUGUGCAUAGAAGACAGCUGCAAAACAAGGUUUAAAUUCAACAACUUUACCACAUCAAAUUGAAGCUGGCUCAUAUGGAUCAGGGUCUCCAGCAUGCUCACUCCUUGAAACAUGCUUUGAGGAGCACCAGGUGGAAACAUCAGCACAUGUAUACUUCAUAAAGCAAUACUCAGUAAACUACAUAUAACGUUGCUCAUGGAUAAUAUGGAAGUCAAGAUUCAGAUUCAGCCUGCAGAAGGUGAUUCAACCAUCAUGCUUCUUCUCAGGUUGAUAGGCGACCACUGAUAACCUAACAAAUGGAUGUAAACAAUUUGUGGCAAGCAAUAUGGUGUAGCUAAUGUACAUCUUCCACUUCUAGAAGGCACAUAUAGUUCCCAUUUUGGGUAUGAAAGUAAAAGGUA